Molecule: ribosomal RNA, 426 nt
Filed under: uncultured bacterium
Lineage: Bacteria
Description: partial 16S ribosomal RNA
Rfam family: Bacterial small subunit ribosomal RNA
Source: RNAcentral
GUGAGGAAUUUUCCGCAAUGGGCGAAAGCCUGACGGAGCAAUGCCGCGUGAAGGAUGAAGGCCUAUGGGUUGUAAACUUCUUUUCUCAGAAAAGAAUUAUGACGGUAUCUGAGGAAUAAGCAUCGGCUAACUCUGUGCCAGCAGCCGUGGUAAGACAGAGGAUGCAAGCGUUAUCCGGAAUGAUUGGGCGUAAAGCGUCUGUAGGUUGUUUAAAAAGUAUUCUGUCAAAGAUUAGGGCUUAACCCUAGAUAGGCAGAAUAAACUUUUAAGCUAGAGUUUGGUAGAGGCAGAGGGAAUUCCCGGUGGAGCGGUGAAAUGCGUAGAUAUCGGGAGGAACACCAAAGGCGAAGGCACUCUGCUGGGCCAAUACUAACACUGAGAGACGAAAGCGAGGGGAGCAAAUGGGAUUAGAAACCCGGGUAGUCC